GACAGAGGGUGCAAACGUUGUUCGGAAUUACUGGGCGUAAAGCGUGUGUAGGCGGCUUUGCAAGUCGGAUGUGAAAGCCCGGGGCUCAACCCCGGAAGUGCACUCGAUACUGCAGAACUAGAGUCUCGGAGAGGUUGGUGGAAUUCUCGGUGUAGAGGUGAAAUGCGUAGAUAUCGAGAGGAACACCGGUGGCGAAGGCGGCCAACUGGACGAAGACUGACGCUGAGACACGAAAGCGUGGGGAGCAAACAGG
RNAcentral lists this ribosomal RNA (253 nucleotides) under uncultured bacterium. Its description in RNAcentral is "partial 16S ribosomal RNA". It matches the Rfam family "Bacterial small subunit ribosomal RNA", at positions 524 to 776 of the family's 1533-position model. The record is from RNAcentral.